RNAcentral lists this transfer RNA (69 nucleotides) under Capsicum annuum. It matches the Rfam family "tRNA". Rfam says of the family: Transfer RNA (tRNA) molecules are approximately 80 nucleotides in length. Their secondary structure includes four short double-helical elements and three loops (D, anti-codon, and T loops). Lineage: Eukaryota; Viridiplantae; Streptophyta; Magnoliopsida; Solanales; Solanaceae. The record is from Rfam by way of RNAcentral.
GGAGUAGCUCAUUUAGUUAGAGUGUGUGACUGUUAACCACAAGGUUGAAGGUUCAACUCAUGCACUCCC